UGUUGUUAUUAUGUAGAGAAGUCUUGCAACAUUCUUGAUCUAUAACCAUGCUGGCUAUCUAAAUGCAGGUUGUGAUGAUUAGAGAGAAGCUUGCAGAACUGUAUGAAUUUGAACAAUAAUGGUCGAGAGCAGCACAAAUGCUUAGUGGCAUUGACUUACACUCAGGAACUAGGUAAAAGCCAUCUUUUGUCUCUCUUUACAUGUUAUUGGAUUUUCUAAGUCUGGGAAAUCUGACCAUCAUCUUGAAAACCAUGAUGCUUGAUGACACAAACAAAUUAUCCAAGUGUGUCCUGAUUGCACGACUCUAUUUGGAGGAUGAUGAUGCAGUGAAUGCUGAAGCUUUUAUCAACAAAGCCUCGAUUUUGGUCACAAACACAACAACCAGAAAGUUCUGAACUUACAAUACAAGGUCUACUAUGUGAGAAUUUUAGAUCUAAAGGGUGAAUUCUUGGAAGCUACACUUCGAUACUAUGGUAUCUCUCAAAUGAGCAACGCCAAAUUGGGGAUGAGUAAGGCUUACUCCAUUCAGUUGUAGAUUUGUUUCUCCCUUCUACAAUUUACUCCUUUUUAAUGUUCUGUCUUGUUUGGUUCUUUGUUGCCUUGCCGGUGUGGUGGUGCCUAAUUUCUUUUUUACACACUUCAAAUAUUUCAAUGUUUUGCUUACUGUAUGUAGUAAAUUACCCUACUUGAUACUAAUGUUUAAGUACUGCAGUGGUUAUUAGCAAGUCGUAUUUGGAACUGAUAUGGCCUCCAUAUUUUAUUCUCAAAGAUCUUGACGGAACAUCGUUUCUGUAUUUUCUCAAAUAGAUUGAUGAAAAUGCUCUUGAGCAAGCUCUUAGUGCUGCUGUAACAUGCACAAUAUUGUAACUAUUGAGAGGCAACCACUCUUGCCAACUUGAAAUCAGUUUACUCAUUCAAGUUGUGGAAUUUCUAUAUAGCAUUUUGAGUUUACUUCGGUCGUGCAUUAGGUUUCUCUGUGUGCCCCUAUUCUUGUGUGCAAGCGCUCCAUUCUCUCUGUGUGUGUGUGUGUGUGUGUGUGUGUGUGACUUGAUGGUGAAUAUGUGUGUGGCUUG
Triticum dicoccoides is the source of this 1073-nucleotide long non-coding RNA. RefSeq lists it as uncharacterized. The transcript is spliced from 3 exons. NCBI's taxonomy places the organism in Eukaryota, Viridiplantae, Streptophyta, Magnoliopsida, Poales, Poaceae. The record is from RefSeq and is a predicted model, not a curated record.